ACUACAUCUCUCACUAGUAAAGAGCUUUACAUUCUCAGCAACUUAACACUACAAAGUACAAACUUGGAAUAUCUAAAGGCCUAAUUGUGUAGAUCAGAGAUUGCCCUAGGCUGAUUUUAGUAAAAGGUACGAUUAUAAGUGCUGGUUUAUAUAAAUCUGAAUAUAAAAACAAUGGCAACAACAAAAAAAAAAUGGAAGCGCAUCCUCACAGGGGUCUGUGACCAUCAAAGUAGGUUUUUGAAAAUCUUAAUCUAACUCACUUCCCAUACCAGUUGAUAAAUCUUUGAAGUAUCUAGGACACGCAUUUGUUCCACAUUCUCAGGUGGCAACCCAUCUCAAUGAUAUCAAUAGUUCUUCAUCCUUAAACUUCUGUCAUUCUUACAGACAUGGUUCUUCGAUUACAGGUGGCACUAGCCACUGUAAAGCAAAUCUAAAAUCCAAAACCAGAUUUUAUUUUAGAAAAGCAAAUCUAUAUGAUUUUCCAUUUUCCAUCACUUCAUGCCUCUUGAGAUUCACAUCCAACAGACCAGAGAAUCACAUGGUGCCAGAAGUUAAAAUGCUUCAGUCAUUCUUCCCUUCCUUUCAAGAUGUGCUAUUAUAUCACUUGACUUAAGUAGUCUUCCAAACUUGGGGGCUGAUAAAAUAUGCAGAACGGUUGCAUUUGGCUGUUAUACUAGAUAGCAAAUUCGAAAUAUUCAACAUCCAAUUUAACUAGGUUGUUAAAAAGCUUAAUAACUAGCUGCAGGAGCUAAAGAUUAAAGAUCAAAUGACUGCUUAAUGCCCUCAAGACUAAAAGACAGCUGCUUGCACAUUUAUUUUCUGAUAUUUUAUGACUUACUAAUGGUAGAGAGUAAUAUCCAGGGCUUUGAAACUAGUCCAGAAAAGUACAAACAACAAAAACAUCCACAACUUUAGAUGAGCAAAUAAAAGAAAAAACCUACUUGUUCAAAGGUACAUGCUCAAAU
This 965-nucleotide unclassified non-coding RNA is filed under the name Hevea brasiliensis (rubber tree). Lineage: Eukaryota; Viridiplantae; Streptophyta; Magnoliopsida; Malpighiales; Euphorbiaceae. The record is from RNAcentral.